This 464-nucleotide ribosomal RNA is filed under the name uncultured bacterium. Its description in RNAcentral is "partial 16S ribosomal RNA". It matches the Rfam family "Bacterial small subunit ribosomal RNA", at positions 339 to 795 of the family's 1533-position model. The record is from RNAcentral.
CUACGGGGUGCUGCAGUGGGGAAUUUUGGACAAUGGGGGCAACCCUGAUCCAGCCAUUCCGCGUGAGUGAAGAAGGCCUUCGGGUUGUAAAGCUCUUUCAGCUGGAACGAAACGGUACACUCUAACAUAGCGUGCUAAUGACGGUACCAGCAGAAGAAGCACCGGCUAACUACGUGCCAGCAGCCGCGGUAAUACGUAGGGUGCGAGCGUUAAUCGGAAUUACUGGGCGUAAAGCGUGCGCAGGCGGAUUGUUAAGCAAGAUGUGAAAUCCCCGGGCUUAACCUGGGAAUGGCAUUUUGAACUGGCAGUCUAGAGUGCGUCAGAGGGGGGUGGAAUUCCACGUGUAGCAGUGAAAUGCGUAGAGAUGUGGAGGAACACCGAUGGCGAAGGCAGCCCCCUGGGAUGACACUGACGCUCAUGUACGAAAGCGUGGGUAGCAAACAGGAUUAGAUACCCUGGUAGUC